This 65-nucleotide transfer RNA is filed under the name Caudoviricetes sp. RNAcentral's name for it is "tRNA-OTHER". The record is from RNAcentral. Lineage: Duplodnaviria; Heunggongvirae; Uroviricota; Caudoviricetes.
GUUCCUUUAGAUUCAAUGGAAGAACGCCCAGCAGGGAGGUUUGGGUUCGAGUCCCAAAAGGAACA